This 118-nucleotide ribosomal RNA is filed under the name Mycetomoellerius zeteki. The record is from RNAcentral. Lineage: Eukaryota; Metazoa; Arthropoda; Insecta; Hymenoptera; Formicidae.
AAGUACAUACAUACAUAUAUACCAGUUCUCGUCUGAUCACUGAAGUCAACGUUGAGCACGCGCGCGCGGUUAGUACUUGGAUGGAUGACCGCUUGGGAACACCGUGUGAUGUUGCCUC